AUGAGGUAUGCUGAUACACAAAAACAAUGCACACUUUCUGGCUUCAAAAAAAGCAUGAUGCUUGCUAUACAAAGGAUGGAAGCCCAUCUUGGCCCUACAUCAAGGUUGUACCUUUCGUUCAUGCGCAAGGUGGGCAAGAGGAUAGAUGCAAUGGAAGAAGAUACAUUUAUGGUUGCAGCUGCUGUCCUUGACCCAUAUACACAUUACAAGCUGAACCUUUGCAACCACACAGAUUAUGCCACUUCACUAACAGAUGCGAUAGCGAAGAUAUUAGACCCAGUGAGUGCUCUUUCAGCCAUUGAUGAAGUGAGCAAGUUCAGGGAGUGCCAAGGGAGGUUUGGGACCAGAUUGGCAGAAGAAGCUGCGGCGAGAAUGGGGCCAACCCAAUGGUGGUUUCAGUUUGGAGGGGAUGUUCCUGCAUUGCAGAAAUGUGCAAUGAGAAUUUGCUCACAAUGUGUCUCCUCUAGUGGGUGUGAGAGAAAUUGGAGCGCUUUUGCUUUGGUGCACACAAAGCAAAGAAGUCGUCUUCUAUAUGACAAGCUCCACAAGCUAGUUUCUGUACGCUACAACUUAAAGGUAUAA
RNAcentral lists this ribosomal RNA (582 nucleotides) under Triticum aestivum (bread wheat). RNAcentral's name for it is "partial small subunit ribosomal RNA". The record is from RNAcentral. Lineage: Eukaryota; Viridiplantae; Streptophyta; Magnoliopsida; Poales; Poaceae.